GGGGACGAAUUGGUAUCGACUGUUGUAGGCAGACGAAGGAAAAGCAUGUGAAGUAUCCUCUUCUAAAAAGGAAAAACGCUUUAAACGGCGAAAAUAAUAACUUUGCAAUGGCUGCUUAAUAGCGCCUGCACUAUCUGGUAAGUUCGCUUCUGGUCUGCCAGGUGGUAAAACUCACGGAAGCUGGAAUCCGCGACGCAGAUAAAUGGAUUUGAGAAAACAUCUGAUUGGAAAAGCCCUGUUGGUUCACAGGGAUGGGUUUUUCUGAAAAAGUAACUGUGGACUAAACAUGUAGAAAGUCUUUAUUUGUGCAUCAGGACGCGGGUUCAACUCCCGCCGUCUCCAA
This 343-nucleotide transfer-messenger RNA is filed under the name Spirochaetia bacterium. It matches the Rfam family "transfer-messenger RNA". From Rfam's summary of the family: Bacterial tmRNA, also known as 10Sa RNA or SsrA, is named for its dual tRNA and mRNA-like properties. The record is from RNAcentral. Lineage: Bacteria; Pseudomonadati; Spirochaetota; Spirochaetia.